Molecule: ribosomal RNA, 496 nt
Filed under: uncultured bacterium
Lineage: Bacteria
Description: partial 16S ribosomal RNA
Rfam family: Bacterial small subunit ribosomal RNA
Source: RNAcentral
GAUGAACGCUGGCGGCGUGCCUAAUACAUGCAAGUCGAGCGAACGGACGAGAAGCUUGCUUCUCUGAUGUUAGCGGCGGACGGGUGAGUAACACGUGGAUAACCUACCUAUAAGACUGGGAUAACUUCGGGAAACCGGAGCUAAUACCGGAUAAUAUUUUGAACCGCAUGGUUCAAAAGUGAAAGACGGUCUUGCUGUCACUUAUAGAUGGAUCCGCGCUGCAUUAGCUAGUUGGUAAGGUAACGGCUUACCAAGGCAACGAUGCAUAGCCGACCUGAGAGGGGAAUGGGCAAAACAGGAAAGGGAACAGGGUCCAGACCCCAAGGGGGGGAAGGAGGGGGGAAUUUUCCGAAAUGGGGAAAAGCCGGAGGGAGAAACGCGGGGGGGGGGAUGAAGGUUUUCGGAUGGAAAAACUUUUUUAUUAGGAAAAAAAAAAUGGGAAAGAAAAUGUGAAAAUUUUGACGGUACAUAAUAAAAAAGCCACGGCUAAAUACGU